RNAcentral lists this ribosomal RNA (493 nucleotides) under uncultured Escherichia sp. RNAcentral describes it as "bacterial SSU rRNA". It matches the Rfam family "Bacterial small subunit ribosomal RNA", at positions 30 to 510 of the family's 1533-position model. The record is from RNAcentral. Lineage: Bacteria; Pseudomonadati; Pseudomonadota; Gammaproteobacteria; Enterobacterales; Enterobacteriaceae.
AUUGAACGCUGGCGGCAGGCCUAACACAUGCAAGUCGAACGGUAACAGGAAACAGCUUGCUUCUUUGCUGACGAGUGGCGGACGGGUGAGUAAUGUCUGGGGAACUGCCUGAUGGAGGGGGAUAACUACUGGAAACGGUAGCUAAUACCGCAUAACGUCGCAAGACCAAAGAGGGGGACCUUCGGGCCUCUUGCCAUCGGAUGUGCCCAGAUGGGAUUAGCUAGUAGGUGGGGUAACGGCUCACCUAGGCGACGAUCCCUAGCUGGUCUGAGAGGAUGACCAGCCACACUGGAACUGAGACACGGUCCAGACUCCUACGGGAGGCAGCAGUGGGGAAUAUUGCACAAUGGGCGCAAGCCUGAUGCAGCCAUGCCGCGUGUAUGAAGAAGGCCUUCGGGUUGUAAAGUACUUUCAGCGGGGAGGAAGGGAGUAAAGUUAAUACCUUUGCUCAUUGACGUUACCCGCAGAAGAAGCACCGGCUAACUCCGUGCCA